RNAcentral lists this ribosomal RNA (1131 nucleotides) under uncultured bacterium. Its description in RNAcentral is "bacterial SSU rRNA". It matches the Rfam family "Bacterial small subunit ribosomal RNA", at positions 211 to 1350 of the family's 1533-position model. The record is from RNAcentral.
UUUUUCGGUUGGGGAUGGGCUCGCGGCCUUNUCAGCUUGUUGGUGGGGUAAAGGCCUACCAAGGCGACGACGGGUAGCCGGCCUGAGAGGGCGACCGGCCACACUGGGACUGAGACACGGCCCAGACUCCUACGGGAGGCAGCAGUGGGGAAUAUUGCACAAUGGGGGAAACCCUGAUGCAGCGACGCCGCGUGAGGGAUGACGGCCUUCGGGUUGUAAACCUCUUUCAGUAGGGAAGAAGCCCUUCGGGGUGACGGUACCUGCAGAAGAAGUACCGGCUAACUACGUGCCAGCAGCCGCGGUAAUACGUAGGGUACAAGCGUUGUCCGGAAUUAUUGGGCGUAAAGAGCUCGUAGGCGGUCCGUCGCGUCUGCUGUGGAAUCGCAAGGCUCAACCUUGCGCGUGCAGUGGGUACGGGCGGACUAGAGUGCAGUAGGGGAGUCUGGAAUUCCUGGUGUAGCGGUGAAAUGCGCAGAUAUCAGGAGGAACACCGGUGGCGAAGGCGGGACUCUGGGCUGUUACUGACGCUGAGGAGCGAAAGCAUGGGGAGCGAACAGGAUUAGAUACCCUGGUAGUCCAUGCCGUAAACGUUGGGCACUAGGUGUGGGGCUCAUUCCACGAGUUCCGCGCCGCAGCUAACGCAUUAAGUGCCCCGCCUGGGGAGUACGGCCGCAAGGCUAAAACUCAAAGGAAUUGACGGGGGCCCGCACAAGCGGCGGAGCAUGCGGAUUAAUUCGAUGCAACGCGAAGAACCUUACCAAGGCUUGACAUACACCGGAAUGGGCCAGAGAUGGUUCAGCCCUUUGGGCUGGUGUACAGGUGGUGCAUGGUUGUCGUCAGCUCGUGUCGUGAGAUGUUGGGUUAAGUCCCGCAACGAGCGCAACCCUCGUUCUAUGUUGCCAGCACGUGAUGGUGGGAACUCAUAGGAGACUGCCGGGGUCAACUCGGAGGAAGGUGGGGAUGACGUCAAAUCAUCAUGCCCUUUAUGUCUUGGGCUUCACGCAUGCUACAAUGGUUGGUACAAAGGGUGGCGAGACCGCGAGGUGGAGCGAAUCCCAGAAAGCCGAUCUCAGUUCGGAUCGUAGUCUGCAACUCGACUACGUGAAGUCGGAGUCGCUAGAAUCGCAGAUC